UGGGGAAUCUUAGACAAUGGGGGAAACCCUGAUCUAGCCAUGCCGCGUGAUCGAUGAAGGCCUUAGGGUUGUAAAGAUCUUUCAGAUGGGAAGAUAAUGACGGUACCAUCAGAAGAAGCCCCGGCUAACUCCGUGCCAGCAGCCGCGGUAAUACGGAGGGGGCUAGCGUUAUUCGGAAUUACUGGGCGUAAAGCGCACGUAGGCGGAUUGGAUAGUUGGAGGUGAAAUCCCAGGGCUCAACCUUGGAACUGCCUUCAAAACUUCCAGUCUUGAGGUCGAGAGAGGUGAGUGGAAUUCCGAGUGUAGAGGUGAAAUUCGUAGAUAUUCGGAGGAACACCAGUGGCGAAGGCGGCUCACUGGCUCGAUACUGACGCUGAGGUGCGAAAGCGUGGGGAGCAAACAGG
RNAcentral lists this ribosomal RNA (404 nucleotides) under uncultured bacterium. RNAcentral's name for it is "bacterial SSU rRNA". It matches the Rfam family "Bacterial small subunit ribosomal RNA", at positions 355 to 776 of the family's 1533-position model. The record is from RNAcentral.